UACGGGGGGAGCAAGCGUUGUUCGGAUUUACUGGGCGUAAAGGGCGCGUAGGCGGCCACCGCAAGUCGGUUGUGAAAUCUCUGGGCUUAACCCAGAAAGGUCAACCGAUACUGCGGGGCUAGAGUGCAGAAGGGGCAACUGGAAUUCUCGGUGUAGCGGUGAAAUGCGUAGAUAUCGAGAGGAACACCGGUGGCGAAGGCGGCCCACUGGAUCGGUACUGACGCUGAGGAGCGAAAGCGUGGGGAGCAAACAGG
This 254-nucleotide ribosomal RNA is filed under the name uncultured bacterium. RNAcentral describes it as "partial 16S ribosomal RNA". It matches the Rfam family "Bacterial small subunit ribosomal RNA", at positions 524 to 776 of the family's 1533-position model. The record is from RNAcentral.